UUAAAAAUCAUAUAAGAACAAAUUUGAUAUAAAAAUGGAUUGCUGCUUUGUAAAUGAAUGCGAAAGAUUUGCCGUGACCCCAGUCCUUGUGAGUCCUCAAGUUAAAUGCUGCGAAAGUGCACCAAUAUAUGUUCCGUGUUGCAAUGACAAAGUCGUAUAUUGCUGCGAGAAGAUACGACCUUGUACGCCGGUGGCGAGGAAAAUAUGCUACGAUGGUAAUUGUGACCAUACGUGUACUCUAUGCUCCGAGCCGCCCCAGAAGAUUUGUCCGACAUGCCGUCAGCCGACCGGCCCGCCUGCGAAGCCGGCAGUCAAAUACGUCAUGCCUUGUUAUCGGUAUGAAGAUGGUCGAAUUGAACAAUUCGAUUCUAAAGUUCACGGUAAACUUCCAGCUACUGCUUAUAAAAGGAAUGGGAUACAGGAUCAAAUUAAUGGAUAUAGAGGAGCGCGACGUGAUCUGUGCGCGGUAAAAGUAAUGCCAUCAACUGCGCUAAAACGGAACGGCAUCCAGGACCACGAGUACAACGAAAGCGGUGGAGUUUCUUAUUUAUGCCAAAGUCCGAAUACCGCCAUUUGGUCGGAUAGACCUUUCUAUAUGCCCAUCAAGGCAUUUAAGAGAAUUGCUAAUACAGUGACUUUGAAAGGAUUAAAAUAACAGGAAGCGAUCACUUCGAUUUUGGCAUUUUGAUAAUUUAGGAUCGAAUCUUAACCGCGCUUGAAAUGACUUACGGCUAGCUGCUACGUUUAUGAAUGUUAAAGUUGCGGUAUGAUUACAGAUAAAUCAACCCACUUGUUUAACAAAACACGCUUGUAAAGUGGCCUGCAGUUAUUGCCCGACACAGACAGCGCCA
RNA transcript from Papilio machaon (common yellow swallowtail), 851 nucleotides. It is a transcript of the gene named prestalk D11 protein-like, with no coding region annotated. NCBI's taxonomy places the organism in Eukaryota, Metazoa, Arthropoda, Insecta, Lepidoptera, Papilionidae. The transcript has 4 exons. The record is from RefSeq and is a predicted model, not a curated record.